GAUGAACGCUGGCGGCGUGCUUAACACAUGCAAGUCGAACGAUGAAGCCCAGCUUGCUGGGUGGAUUAGUGGCGAACGGGUGAGUAACACGUGAGUAUCCUGCCCUUAACUCUGGGAUAAGCCUGGGAAACUGGGUCUAAUACCGGAUAGGAGCGUCCACCGCAUGGUGGGUGUUGGAAAGAUUUAUCGGUUUUGGAUGGACUCGCGGCCUAUCAGCUUGUUGGUGAGGUAAUGGCUCACCAAGGCGACGACGGGUAGCCGGCCUGAGAGGGUGACCGGCCACACUGGGACUGAGACACGGCCCAGACUCCUACGGGAGGCAGCAGUGGGGAAUAUUGCACAAUGGGCGCAAGCCUGAUGCAGCGACGCCGCGUGAGGGAUGACGGCCUUCGGGUUGUAAACCUCUUUCAGUAGGGAAGAAGCGAAAGUGACGGUACCUGCAGAAGAAGCACCGGCUAACUACGUG
Molecule: ribosomal RNA, 466 nt
Filed under: uncultured bacterium
Lineage: Bacteria
Description: partial 16S ribosomal RNA
Rfam family: Bacterial small subunit ribosomal RNA
Source: RNAcentral